Molecule: ribosomal RNA, 482 nt
Filed under: uncultured Cryomorpha sp.
Lineage: Bacteria; Pseudomonadati; Bacteroidota; Flavobacteriia; Flavobacteriales; Cryomorphaceae
Description: bacterial SSU rRNA
Rfam family: Bacterial small subunit ribosomal RNA
Source: RNAcentral
GAUGAACGCUAGCGGCAGGCCUAACACAUGCAAGUCGAACGGUAACAUGAGAGCUUGCUCUCGAUGACGAGUGGCGCACGGGUGCGUAACACGUAUGCAACCUACCUCUAUCAGGGGGAUAGCCCGAAGAAAUUCGGAUUAAUACCCCAUAAUAAUGAAAAUUCGCAUGUUUUUUCAUUUAAAGCUCCGGCGGAUAGAGAUGGGCAUGCGUCCUAUUAGUUAGUUGGUGAGGUAACGGCUCACCAAGACUCCGAUAGGUAGGGGUUCUGAGAGGAAGAUCCCCCACACUGGUACUGAGACACGGACCAGACUCCUACGGGAGGCAGCAGUGAGGAAUAUUGGACAAUGGACGAAAGUCUGAUCCAGCCAUGCCGCGUGCAGGAAGAAUGCCCUCUGGGUUGUAAACUGCUUUUAUAAGGGAAUAAACCCCAUUACGUGUAAUGGGCUGAAUGUACCUUAUGAAUAAGCACCGGCUAACUCCG